Molecule: transfer RNA, 67 nt
Filed under: Hydroporus brevis
Lineage: Eukaryota; Metazoa; Arthropoda; Insecta; Coleoptera; Dytiscidae
Description: tRNA-Ser
Source: RNAcentral
GAAAUAUGAUAUUCAAGAUAAAGCUUCUAACUUUUUUCUUAAGCGGUUUAAUUCCGUUUAUAUUUCU